This 61-nucleotide transfer RNA is filed under the name Camelus bactrianus (Bactrian camel). It matches the Rfam family "tRNA", at positions 6 to 65 of the family's 71-position model. From Rfam's summary of the family: Transfer RNA (tRNA) molecules are approximately 80 nucleotides in length. Their secondary structure includes four short double-helical elements and three loops (D, anti-codon, and T loops). Further hydrogen bonds mediate the characteristic L-shaped molecular structure. tRNAs have two regions of fundamental functional importance: the anti-codon, which is responsible for specific mRNA codon recognition, and the 3' end, to which the tRNAs corresponding amino acid is attached (by aminoacyl-tRNA synthetases). tRNAs cope with the degeneracy of the genetic code in two manners: having more than one tRNA (with a specific anti-codon) for a particular amino acid; and 'wobble' base-pairing, i.e. permitting non-standard base-pairing at the 3rd anti-codon position. Lineage: Eukaryota; Metazoa; Chordata; Mammalia; Artiodactyla; Camelidae. The record is from Rfam by way of RNAcentral. RNAcentral also lists the same sequence under 2 other names.
UACAGCUCAGUGGUAGAGUGUGUGCUUAGCUUGCACGAGGUCAUGGGUUCAAUCCCCAUUA